Molecule: long non-coding RNA, 1014 nt
Organism: Gasterosteus aculeatus aculeatus (three-spined stickleback)
Lineage: Eukaryota; Metazoa; Chordata; Actinopteri; Perciformes; Gasterosteidae
Source: Ensembl
CCCCCCCCCCUCGCUUAAUCUUCUAUCAAUACGCGUUGUGUGGUUCGUCGUGUUUGCGGGAUGCGGUUAGCUAAACAAAAGCACGAGGCACGAACAGAUAAGCGCCGAUAAGUUCCUCGUGGAACGAGGCGGCGCGCGCGGUCCGUCCUGAUGACGCCACAAAGCACCGGAGACACGCGCGCUCUGCGCCGGCUACUGUCAGUCCGCGUGCCCUCAGAUAGCGUGCGCUGUUUGGGCUUCUUGUUGAACCAAACGGCGUAGCGCCACAGCCGCAACGACACAAAGCACUUUGUCGGUGUGGCGCUACUUUCUCCGGCUAGAGAAACACGCUUUUCUUUUAGGGAAACCCACUGAAGCACAACGCGGCUUUAACACACCUGCGCGGCAGGUAGACAACACAACGUGUGAGCAGACACACUACUGUGUACUACGACACAAACAGCCCCUCGACCGCCACAAGCGCUGCUUUCAACGGACCGUGGGCAUCAGUCGGUGUGUGGCGGAUGGGUCUCCCGUGUGUGUGUAUGUGUGUGUGUGUGUGUGUGAGAUGAUGAAACGCCUUUUCUCCUCUAGGAGCUGCAUUGUUGACAUUGGCUUCCUGACGUCAUGCCGGCCCCCAUUCACAACAACGGCCAAGCCCCCCUCUGCUAUGGAGACGGAGCCCCCCCCGCCUUGGUUUCGCGUACUGAGACUGUACACGUCAUUAAAGUACGGAAGAUUAUUGUUUUUUAUUAAAGCUUUUUUGGUCUGCUCAAUAACAUUUCAGUAAAUAAUUUAAUAAUUUAAUUUACAAUUUCCCGAAACCCAAAUGGAUUCAUAUGUCUUGAAUCGAUGAAGUCCACAAACAUGAGAUAUUCUUACCAAUUAAAAGUAAAAAAAAAAAACAAUGUUUGGAAAUUUUUCUUGAAAACUGAUAUAAACAAUGAAUAAAUCAAAAGUUUCCUGACUACGUACUGACUAAUAAAUUAAUUGAAGCCACGUUUUGCUGGAUUAAAGCAGUUAACUUAAUAUUCA